CUCACAGCGGCCGGCCGGGGAGUGCGGGAAGCGGGCGGCGCUUGGUGCGGCCGGCCGGUCGCUGUGAGGGGCGGCUGCGGGAGCCUCUGAGCCCGCUGGGCUUGUUGGGGGAGCCCGCGGUCCGCCGGCUGCGGGAGGGCCUGGCGGCGGGAGCAGGCCGCGGCGGGGAGUGCCCAGCGCGGGGCCCGUGUGGGGAGACAAGGCCGGUGUGAGACCUUGCACCAGGGAGCAGUGCCGGCCCUUGUAGUGCCUCUUCAGGGUUUCUCUUUUGGGGCACCUCCAAAAGUGCAGUGAGGGAUCCAGGAUUAACGGGAAUUAGCACCAGAUGCUGCCCCAGGCCUGGCUCCUGAGCCGGGCACGGCUGGUCACGGCUGAGGGACCCCCUCAGCAGUGGAAAAAAAACACUGGAGCUUUGCCUCAUGACUGCUGAGGGGUUCCCUGAUUUGGCGGAGGGUGAUUGUCUCUUCUGCCUCUAUGUAGCUGUCAGCUGGAGCAGGUGGAGCUCUCUGCAGCAAUGCAGGGCACUUGGUGUGGGGGUUUUGUGUGUUUGGGAGAUUUUUUUAAGGGGUAAAUGCAAGGCCCAGUCACUAGGUGCUGGGCCUAAACCGAGGGGGUGAGCCAUGCCUGCACCGCUGCCUUGGGGCUGUUCCAUGGGCAGAAUUUUGUUGCAGCUGCUCUGGCAACAGGAUUUUCUAUGUUAUCCUUUGGAAAUGUUUUCAAGCUCAACCCAGCUGAGCUGUGGGAGGGCUUCGUCUUUCAACCAGUGGUGGCCCAUGGGAAGAGCUGGUCUGUCCUCUUCUUCGCAGGCUGUGUGCUGUCCUGCCUUCCCCCUGCCACGGACAGGGUGGGUGGUGGGGCUGUCAGGCAAGGCCACCUUGUCCCUGGGGACUGGGGUUGUCCUCAGAUGUGGGCUGCAGUCAAUGCAAAAUGGACUCCAGAUCUGCAGUGCUGCCACAUGUUCCUGAUGGUUGGAUUAAUGAGGCUGUCCUAACGCAGUGAGCAAGGGCUGGUGCUUAUGAGACUGACCGGUGUGUAAAGUCUGCCCUUGCGUUUGGUAUGUGGGAGGAAGUUUACGCUGGAAACCAAACUGAUGUGUCAAAUGUGGGGUGUUUGGUAUGUGACAGCAUGCACUGGCCUCUGCUCCCUUCCCUGUAGCUGCUGUGUCUUCUCCAUGUGUUUGGGGCACUCGUUACACCCCUCCGUGGAUCCGCAGUCCCUGCAUGCCAGGAACAGCCACCACCUCAUCUGUGCACGGGCCUUAAGCAACAGACAUCUUGUAGCGAGGGGGCUUGAUGUCUCACGGGGUGAUGCGUUGAGCUCUCCUUGAUCAGGUUCCCUCUCCAUCUUUGGCUCGCAUCCCUUCCUCUGCAGUUACACUCAGUCACUUACACAGCCUUGUUUGGCUAGUGCUUGACCUGGGCUACCAAGAGGGCAAGAAAUAGCUGUGAAGUCCAAAUGAAGAAAGACUUGUACUCAGUCUUCCCUGUUCCCUGCCGUGCACUGAAUCUGAGGGCUUGCCAGGACCUUCUAGCCAAAUAAUUACCUCUUUGUUUCCAUAAGCCCAGGAAAGUGAAGGCUGGAAUGUGAUUCCAGCCCUGCAUUGUAGUGCGGGUACCAACAAGAGGAAGUAGAAGGUGACUUGUGGUUUUUGCCUUUAGGGGCUGCUAGAUGCUGGUGAAGAGCAGCCAUGCUUGUGACGUCGGGGAAUUAAGGCAGCGUUGAGUUUGUUUACAGGCAUGUAAGAGUUGUGUGUGCACAUGGGACAGAGGUGGAUGGAGCCUUGGUGCUACACAGUGAUGGAGCAGGAUCUUUUUUGCAAGACCAAUCCCAUGCUAUCCUAGCAGUUGCAGCUUGUGUCAUACCUGAGCUGAUCCUCCAUGCCAAGUUCCUCCCCAUCGCUGGCACAAUGUAUUUGCUGGAUUCCAGGCAAAAGCUUCUGAACUGAAAUAAUUCUGCAGAUGGAGACCAGGACUCCGCGUCACUUCAAGUCCUUCCCGUCGGGCCAGGGUCACUCUAGUGGGAACAUGGGACUCGAAGCAGCCUGCAGUGCAGGUGAAAGCCACAAAGCCAGCGGUGCAUGGCCGCUCACCAGCUCUGGAUGCUUGUUCCCACGCACAUCAGAGGCCGCUGCUGCUGCUGCCUUUGCUCGCCUCCCAUCGAUGGGGACAGCUUGCUCCCCUGUCCUGUCCUCCAGAGACUCAAGGUCCAGCUCAUCCCAUGCCUGUGCACAAGGAGUGGGGACAGCGGCCGGCAGGAAAAGCGAGCCAGGCCAGCUCAAAAUAGACUGCUUGUCGGAGUUUUCCAUGAGACCUUUGAGACUCCUUAUCUCCCCGCUGCUGUUCUGGCACAGGACGAGUUGCAGAUGGAGCAGCCUCUAUGAGCAACAUUACCUCCGUCACCCCAAAGCUUCCUGCCACCCGGACGGGACGUGAGGCCGUUGUCCUGUGGGAUAACGGCUGCUGCAGGGGGCACCGCAGCCUCUGGUUUAGCAGGACUAAUUGGGUGGAAGUAAAACCUGCCUAGUGUCAUGGGGGUGGGGGAUAUUGAGAAGCCUAGCUUUGGUGACAGCAGCUUUAGCAGAGUUUGGGCAUGCAGGCAUGGUAAGCUGUUAAAAAAAUGCCAGUAGCCAGAGGGUGGUCUUGUACCUCUCCUGCUGUAAUAGCUGCCUUGCUUUCAGCAAUGCAAAAGGCAGCAGGGGCAGCUCAAGCCACCCUAAGGUCUGUGAUCCUUCUUCUCUGUAAAAGUAAGUAUAUUCCCACCAGGAAGCAGGCAGAGCUGCUGCUUUGCUUGAUGGGAGGUUGGUCCUGCUUGCCAGGCUCCUGGCAUGAGCCAUGGGUUUGUGGGUCUGUGCUCAGGUGUCACCAAGCUGUAGGCUUGUUUGUAGCCCUGGGGAAGUUUUGGCAGUGUGACCUAGUGCUUUCCACAAGUGCUUUCCUGACCCUGUAAGGAUUUUCUUAUGGCCUUAAUGAGACAUCUGGGGGCAAUUAGUUUUCUGUUUUAUGACAUGCCUGGCUUUUCUCAUUGAAUGUGGCAUGGUGGGGCUGUGCUGGUUCUCCAGCCACAUCUGGGAAGGAAGGAGGGAAGGCAGCAGGAGCAGAGUCAAGCUUUGCAUCCAUCCUUCUCCUUCCCAGUGCUUUUGCUGCUGUGUCUUGUGUGCCUGUACAGAGUCCAGGUCCAGGCGUAAUCCCACGUGAGCUCAGAUGCUCAGCUAUAGAGGGUAAGGCCUGUUGUGACCUGUUGCUCUCAUGCAAGUCCAGAGAUUAAGGUUGAGCCUGCUUCCCACCCGCAGUAUCCUGAAGUUUCUUAGAGUAAGAGAUUACAGAGAGGAUUAGAUAUAAACCUUUGCUGCUGCAGUAAAUCGUUUUUCACUGUUGCCAACUAUGCAGAGGGGAGAGACUGUAGACUGGUAUUUCCCAUUGCAUUAUUGCUGACCCCAGUUAUUUCAAAGUGAUAAACCACUACCUGUCCCUGAUCUGUCAUAAACUACUAUGCUGUAUUGAAACCCAGGCAGGUUAAAGAGGAAAUAAUGAGCAUCCUUUUUCAUUGCUUUUUAGUUCUAGGGCUUUUGUGGUGAUGUUUCUGAGGUUUUUCUUGAUGACCCCAAGAGUGCAUAAGCUUCACCUAGAAGUGUGUGAUCACUUCAGGACCUGAGGCUUUGAGAUUGACACUAAAACUCAUGAGACCUACAGCACGCUUCUAAAGGCUUCAGUCACCUGCAGGGACCGGCUAAAGAGGACCCUCCAUCAUGGGGCUUAAAUGAUUACUUUGGACAGAGUUGCAAUCAUUUUUGUUUUACAGAGAGGGAGCCACAGAAGAGUGAUGUACUUACUGCUAGAAGCAAGGAUUUCUGGGGCUCUGCAUGAUGUUUAGCCGUAAGGUCUCCCUACCCUGACCAGUACCUAUGCUGGAGAGGAUGCUGACAGUCUCUGAUGCAGGCUUUGCAGCAGAGAUGAGCCCAUACUUGGUGCUAGGAAGAAGCAAAAAAAGAAGCUGAUGCUGGGCAGCUACUUACUUGUGAUUCCUGAGGAUGAGGUUCAUUUUAGACAAGUUCUGAAGAUCCAUCCCUCUAAUAGACCAAUACAUGUGCAGACCUGCAGAAAACACUCUUAAGAAAUCUAUUAGAAAUCCUGCAUGGAGGAAAAGGCCAUUGAGCUGCUGCACUGGGAAUGACAGGGCUUUUUUGUCUUUUAUUUUCCCCUUGCAGUUCACUUAAUCAGCUAAUGGUUUUUGCUGACAGAUAUUUAUCAGCCUGAACAUGCUUUCCCUGGUCUUGGAAAAAUAGAAAUCUUUACUCCUGGCUCCAAUAAAAAAAUCACCUCAGUAUCCCUGAACGAGCAAGUCUGGAUAUCAAUCCUUCUCUUGGCAUCUUAGCUCUGGGAGUCGUUAAGAAGAGAAUGGCAAAAGCAGAAAGCAAAGCCACCCAAGGUUAGAAACAGCCCUGACUAUUAUUAUUAAUUUUUUUUCAGCCAGAAAUUUCAUAUGUUUAAUGAGCUGAGGGGCAUAGCGUGCUAGCAGCUAUCCCCAGGGCUAGAAGCAAAGCUGCCCCAGCACAGCUCACUGCAACGUGUGAAACAGCCCCAUGCUGGUGUGGGAGGGUAUUUGUGGCACUGGUACUGCCAUGCCCCAUGAGCUGUUACCAGGACCUGGCUCCAGCAUCCCUAGCUCUGUUGCCCAUCAGAAGUCAUUUCACUGAAAAAAAGGCAGCUCAGUACCCUGUUAGUGGUUGAUUGCUUUUGCUCCGUGCAUGUCCCUCCCUGUCUGCAGAGCUAAUCCUCCUCUCCUUUACACCCUGUUUGCCAUCCUGCAUUGAUUUACUCCUUUCUUACACCAGUUUAGGGUGUUGAAAUCUGCUUUUCAGCCCUGUCUGCAGCAAGUGAAACUCCACGGAGGCACCUCUGUUUGGAUUAACCAAGUCUGGCCUUACAAAAAUAUCUCUUAAGCACAGCUCAGAAAAGCAAAACAUCCAAGAUAAGUUAGAUUGUGAUGUUAGAUUUAUUAUCAAGGAAACAAGCCGUAACUUCUGAGAUGCUGCUUGCCAUCAUAAAUGCAGUUAGACAUUCUUUCCAGUGCUAAUGAGAAUGAAGAUUGAUGUCCUUGCUUGUCCUCUCUGGUGGUGCCAGCAAACACUGGGGUCUUCCCUUUUUUUCUUCUCAAAGCACUUCAUGGUUCUGAAAAUUACUGAAGUGAAAUUUUACAAUGUGUGCCUGCUGGUUUGUGACUUCAGUACAUCUAGGAAGCCCAAACAGGCACAGGAUUUCAGGAUGUGAGAAGAUUCAAGGAAAGAUUUAUCCCCACUAAUUGGAAGUGAGAGAAAGUUUUCCAGUCUCAGAUUUCCUCACUACCAUCAGAGCCUGGCCGAGAGGUACAUCACCAUCACCAUGCUGUUUAAAAUAAUCUCUUGUGCUGUGCAUAAACGAGAGGAACAUUGAACUCGGGUGACAGCCCCAUGACCCUGGUCUCAGAACAGCAAAAUUCUUCAGCCAUCCUGGUUUGUCCUGUUGACACCCCAAGAAUGAGAGGGAGGGAAACCUCACAGGCAGAAGACCCUCCUGCCUGCUGGCUGCCUUGCCUCCCCCUUUACUGGCUUCAAGGAAGCAAGAGCAGGUGGGUGCUAGUCAGCAGCCAGCACAGUAAGAUUGGGUUCUUGGGAGUCUUCUGCAAUGACAACUGAUUUUGAGGAUGCCAAGACUAACCCCUUCGACUCUGAUUCCAUAAGAAUCAGCCAGCUUCGGCAAUGAAACAUCUGCAGCUAAUGGGAAGAGCAACUCACCCUGCAGGCAUCCGAACAGUUCAGCUUUGAAUCUCCUGGCCCUCAGCAUACUGUCAUCUCUCUGUCCAUCCACAGCUCCAAAAUCUGUAUGCUGUGCUGCAUCGGUUUAUUGCUUUAUAUAAGGUUUAUUACAUGCCAAAGGAUGCCCUUUUGCUUGUAGAGUGAUAUGCCAGCCACAGGUGUAUGUGAUGUAGCCUCAUUGGGUCUCUUUCUAUAAGAUCCAAUGCACAGGUGCUUUUUUGCAGCCUUGCAGGCUACCUGUGCUUGGAGGACCACACAUUGGGGAGCUGGGCUGUGUGUGCUGGAGGCCUGCUGGGCUACAGAGAGCUUCAAAACACGCAGGGGGAAGUCUCCAGCUGGGAAAAGACAAACUCACUCUGUUGAAUGUUUUAGGUCCAAUUCCCCAGCUAGUGCAAGCAAACAAGCAUCUGCUCACUUUAAUCCUCAUCUGUACUAAGCAAGGAUGUUGCUAUGCAUUGUCCAAACAGGGUUUUUGCAAAGGAAGGAAAGUAAACCCCAAGAUAAAUCUGUUGCUAAUGGCAAAUCCUUUGAGAAAGCCAAACACCACUCCAGGAGCUGCAGUGAGAUUCGGGGAGUGUCUCCCAGCUGCAGGCUCAGGAGCACCUUCAGCUUCAGUGUUACCCCAUCUUGCCUGCACAUGGUGUUUCCAAGAAGGCCAAAUACUGACUGCAGAUGUGUGAGCAGCCAGGUCCUGGCUUCUCCCAGCUGCACCCAGGGCUUUGCUUCUGCCCUUCUUGUCCACACAGGCUGGAGGCUCUGGGAGUACUUGCAGUCCCCAAGCCCUGUCCUGGCAUCCAGGCUGCCAUGCUCCAGGGUGGCUGCCAAAAGGGAUGGAGAACAGAAGGAAAAAGGUAGUUUGGCUCAUCACGAACUGUAAGUAGCCAAGCCACCACCUGUGGCAGAUCACAGACUUGUAUUAGACCCAUCUCCAUGGAGAUUAAACCCUGUUGCCACUCCAGAGGAUCAGCAGGAGAGCUCUGCUGAUGGCAAGGUGCACAAGGGUGAGAGGAAGUUUUGCUCGUGCUGCCUGCCAAGUCUAAUCAGGAUCUUUACACACCAGCUCCUAUAUGUUGGCAUCUCUCCGGGAACUGACAGACCUGUUCUUCCUAUUGUGCCCCAGGGAGCAAGAAACAUUCCAUGAGUCUCCUACACUGAUACUAGAGAGUAAAGCAAACACGGGACAGUGAGUUCCAGUGCCCUGGAGAGGAGGAGACACUGGGAGCAGCUCAGUGCCCCCCUGGAGCUCCCAGAAGGGCUGGUGCACCCCUCGACUUGGUUGUCUGCAUGCAAAGCAGCAGGAUGCAGCUGCCCUCACAUCUCUAGUCCAGCCCGGUGGCCUGUCCCCUGUGUUUUUACCUGGCAUGGCUUUUCCCUAGCUGAAAUGGCAGAGGGCUUCCCUUAUGUUUUGCCCACUGAGCUUGCCUGGGGCUGCAGCAGGUUUCCCAGCUGCAAAGCACUGUAAAUCACAGGCCAAAUGCGGCUGCCUCACAGCUGUGCAGAGAGGGCUCUAAGUCCAGGGUCACUUAGCUGCUGCACGGUAGCUCCAGAGAAGUGAUAUGUGGAUUAAAUUUCCAGGAGCUGGUAGGGCCAGACUCAAUUUUGAGCCACCAAUUUACCCGAUUAAAAAUAAACAGAGUGUUACAGACAGGCUGUGCUCAGUCACAGCUGAGUUUUAUAAACGUGGCUGGGCACUGGGAUGGAAAGAGUGCUUGCUUGGAGUCACUCUCUUUCCAUUCCCAAUCCAUGCUGCCUCGGGAGGAUUUGGGAAGCAGAAAGUUCGAGUCAGGGCCUCUGUGAAAUUCUGGCUGCUCUGAGAUUUUCCCACAUGUUCAUUAGACGUACAGCUCAUACAAGUUUAUUUCCAGAGGUUUUAAGGGCUGUGAAAGGCUCAUUGUAUCUAUCUGGUGUGAUACCCGUUUUUUGUGGGAGCUUGAACCUACGGCUUGCAAAGCAGAGAGGCACUAAACACUGUGUUGCUGCGGUGGUUAACAACUGGGUGAGGCGGCUCUUUUCAGUCCCAAUUUGGAAGUUGCAGGAGCCAGCAGAAAUACAGAGAUGCCAUGGAGGGAUGCCUGCCCUGCGCUGCAUCCCUUAAGGAUGCUUUUUAGCUGAGAUGCCCAUCCGUGCAGUCAGAGCUGUGAGAUGCUACUGUGGCAGAGCUGAGCCAUGCCAGCAGCCCCCAGGGAGCAGGGUCCCUGGCCCCCGCAAGGUCCCUCACUGUGGUGGGAACAGUGGGGUUAUCAGAACGGGGUGGCUCCUCUCUAAGAUGGAAAUUUCUCCUCUGGCCAGAGGCAGAGGUCUUGGCUUGCAUCCCUGCUCCCUGUCACUGAGCCUCGCCACCUUCCAGGGUUCACUUUGUUCACAAAGAGCCUCAGAUAAGCUUCUUGGCAGGGGUGCUCUGUUCUGCAUGGCAUUAGCAUGGCUCAGGACAGGGUUUUUUAAUAUUAACCUCUUGUAUCCCUUGGAAGAUGCAGCUUAGACACAGCCCCUGGGGCUGGGGCAGCAAGUCAAUGCUCUUCGUCAGUAGGAAGCAUCAGCAUCACCGCAGGGGUUGGCUUCCUCUGACUGCCAACACAGACCGAGGAGAUGUCAGCCUCCUUGGGUAAGCACCACGGAGGUAGCAGCAGUGCUCACCUGUGGGCUGAGCCCUGUGCUGGGGCACCCAGCGUGACCCAGAACCUUCUGCCUGGUGAGAACAGGCUUUGAACCCCCUCCUGUCAGAGCCACGGGAAAUCUUGGCAUGAUGAUGAGCAUGUGUGCCUGAGGCUGGGUCUGCAAAAUGCCUAAGGAAUGGUUGCAACAUAGGGGAACUUUUUUUUUCUUCACUGAGUAGUUUUAUGUGGAGAUGUGUUUCUUCAUGAGUUAAGCUUUUUUGCCAGCCUGAAAAAUCACCUUAACCCCCUCUGCUCAAACUCUUAAAACAAGCGGUUGGUGAUCUGGGGGAGCCAGUCUAAGGCAUCUCAUAAAGCACCUCGUGGGAUGCUGUAGCCGCUAACCAAAAGCGUGGCCUCAGAGUGCUGCAGCAUGCCCUGAUUCACAGGGAAGGGCUGGCUGGCAGCCGAUGUGCUGCCCUCCCCUGCCACUCAGCCUCAUUUAUCUUCGUUACUUGGGCUGUUUACGCAAGCAAAGAAUUGGCCAGAGGCGCCCGGCACCGCUGCGUGCCAAGGGAGGAAGUAGGCACCAGCACGAACUCUUGUGGCUGGCACCCAAUUGCCUGCACGCUCUUUUGAGAACAAAAAGCCAGGAUGUGGUCUCCGUGGCUCAGGGCGAGGGGUGGCUCUGGCCCCUUGCAUGGGUUGUGCCGGGGGUCCCGGCAAGGGGAUCCAUUGCCUCAUGCUCUGUGCUGGUGGCCCAAGGGCAUCCCACCAAGUGGAGAUGCUCGGGCACCUCCACACAAAGCUGCAGGGCACAGAGCUCCUGGGUACCUUUGCUUCCAAGGCUUGAGAAUGUUGUCCUUGGGUUUAGUCCACGUUUAAUCCUUUAUGGCAUGGGAGCUGUGGCUGAGCUUGUGGCUGAAGAGAGGUGACUUACUGCUUUGUUUGUAUCUCCCCUGGUCGCUGAGCUAGCACGGCCACUGGUGCCUUCCCACUUUGCUUCUCUUAUUCAAGCAGCUCCAGGAAAUCUCUGCUCACCCCAUGACCCCGCUGCAGAGAGAGGGGCAUCCUCCCCGUGCCUGGGGCUGGCG
Long non-coding RNA from Falco peregrinus (peregrine falcon), 9476 nucleotides. RefSeq lists it as uncharacterized. NCBI's taxonomy places the organism in Eukaryota, Metazoa, Chordata, Aves, Falconiformes, Falconidae. The record is from RefSeq and is a predicted model, not a curated record. The transcript is spliced from 5 exons.